AGGCCUUCUUUCUGAUUGGUAUUCCUUUUUUAGGCCUUCUUUCUGAUUGGUAUUCCUUUUUUUAGGCCUUCUUUCUGAUUGGUAUUCCUUUUUUUAGGCCUUCUUUCUGAUUGGUAUUCCUUUUUUAGGUCUUCUUUCUGAUUGGUAUUCCUUUUUUUAGGUCUUCUUUCUGAUUGGUAUUCCUUUUUUUAGGUCUUCUUUCUGAUUGGUAUUCCUUUUUUUAGGUCUUCUUUCUGAUUGGUAUUCCUUUUUUUAGGUCUUCUUUCUGAUUGGUAUUCCUUUUUUUAGGUCUUCUUUCUGAUUGGUAUUCCUUUUUUUAGGUCUUCUUUCUGAUUGGUAUUCCUUUUUUUAGGUCUUCUUUCUGAUUGGUAUUCCUUUUUUUAGGUCUUCUUUCUGAUUGGUAUUCCUUUUUUUAGGUCUUCUUUCUGAUUGGUAUUCCUUUUUUUAGGCCUUCUUUCUGAUUGGUAUUCCUUUUUUAGGCCUUUUUUUCUGAUUG
Long non-coding RNA from Oncorhynchus keta (chum salmon), 496 nucleotides. RefSeq lists it as uncharacterized. NCBI's taxonomy places the organism in Eukaryota, Metazoa, Chordata, Actinopteri, Salmoniformes, Salmonidae. The record is from RefSeq and is a predicted model, not a curated record. The transcript has 4 exons.